Molecule: non-coding RNA, 15001 nt
Organism: Homo sapiens (human)
Lineage: Eukaryota; Metazoa; Chordata; Mammalia; Primates; Hominidae
Source: RefSeq, a predicted model, not a curated record
GUAUUCACAGGCUUGUGAUGAUGGAGCUGUGGCUGGAUUUUGGGUCUGAGCAUACUACUCUCGGUAUUUGGAGACCUCCGUAAGAACCUAUGAUAAUAUCCAUUGAAAAUGGUACUGCUUUCAUUUAUGACUUUAAUAUAUUUUUAAUAUUCAACCUGAUUACACUUUUAUCGUAUAAACUGUUGUAUUUGCUUCCUGGGUGGCUUUUUUUUCUGAGAUGAGUCUUGUUCUGUUCCCCUGCUUGGACUUCAUUGGUAAGAUCUCGGCUCACUGCAGCCUCCGCCUCUUGGGUUCCAGCGAUUCUCCUGCCUCAGCCUCCUGCGUAGCUGGGAUUACAGGCAUAUGCUACCACGCCCAGCUAAUUUUUGUGUUUUUAGUAGAAAUGGGGGUUUCACCAUGUUGGCCAGGCUGGUCUUGAACUCCUGACCUCAGGUGAUCAACCCACCUAGGCCUCCCAAAGUGCUAGGAUUACAGGCGUGAGCCACCUUGCCUGGACUGGGAUAGCCUCUUGAUUUCAUUUGUCCCUUCUGAAAGUAAGUAAUAUCUCAGCUGAAUUGAUAUGAUGUCUGGGUUUUGCUUCAAAAUAAUCUGGGGGUGAGUGAAAUAUAUAUGAAACAAAAUUGGCCAUGAGUUGUUUUUCUUUGAAGCUGAGUGAUGAGUAUAGUCCUGUACCAUAUAAUGAUGUUUCAGUCAGUGACAGCCUGCAUUUAGAAUGGUGGUCCCAUGAGGUUAUAAUGCAGCUGAAAAAUUCCUAUCACCUGGUGACAUGAUACUGUCAUACUGCCAUAACACAAUGUAUUACUCAUGUGUUUGUGUUGAUGCCUAUGUAAACAAACCUAUUGCACUGCCAGUUAAAUACGAGUAUAACACAAUUAUAUAUAGUAUAUGAUACUUAAUAACAAAUGACUAUGUCACUAGUUUAUGUAUUUACUAUGCUAUUUUUCUUUAUUUUAAAGGGUACGCUUUCUACUUAAAAAAUAAACUUAACCGUAAAACAACUUUAGGCAGGUCCUUCAGGGAGGUAUUCCAAAAGAAGGCAUUGUUACAGGAUAUGACACCUCUAUGUGUGUUAUUGCCUCUCAGCAACUUUCAGUGGGAGGCCCAUGUGGUGGCUCAUACCUGUAAUCCCUGCCCUUUCGGAGGCCAAGGUGGGAGGAUCCCUUGAGGCAGGAGUUCAAGACCAGCCUGGGCAAGGUAGCAAGACCCUGUCUCUACGAAUCAAUUUUUUAAAAAACUAGUCAGGCAUGGUGACACAUGCCUGUAGUCCUAGCUACUUGGAAGAUUGAGGCAGGAGUAUCACUUGAUCCCAGGAGUUCCAGGUUGCAGUGAGCUUUAGUCACGCCACUGCACUCCAGUGUGUGUGACAGAGUGAGACCCUGUCAAAAAAAAAAAAAAAACUUAACAGUGGAACAAGAUGUGGAGGUGUAAGACACUAAUAUUAAUGACCUGACCCCGUGUAAUCCUAGGCUUACGUAGUUGUGUCUUAGUUUUUAACAAAAAUGUUUUAAAAGUUUUUAAAAAUUAAAUUUUUUAACAAUAGGCCGGGCGUGGUAGCUCAUGGCUGUAAUCCCAGCAUUUUGGGAGGCCAAGGUGGGCGGAUCACUUGAGGCCAGGAGUUCGAGACCAGCCUGGCCAACAUAGCGAAACCCUAUCUCUACAAAAAAUUUAAAAAAUACAAAAAUUAGCCGGGUGUGGUGGUGUGCACCUGUAAUCCCAGCUACUCAGGAGGCUGAGGCACGAGAAUCUCUUGAACCUGGGAGGUAGAGGUUGUAAUGAGCUGGAUCCCACCACUACACUACAGCCUAGGCGACAGAGUGAGACUGUGUCUGAGAAAAAAUAAAAAUAAAAAUGGGCCACGCUUGGUGGCUCACGCCUGUAAUCCCAGCACUUUGGGAGGCUGAGGCAGGUGGAUCACGAGGUCAGGAGUUUGAGACCAGCCUGGCCAACAUGGUGAAACCCUGUCUCUACUAAAAAUACAAAAAUUAGCCAGGCGUGGUGGUGGGCGCCUGUAAUCCCAGCUACUUGGGAGGCUGAGGCAGGAGAAUUGCUUGAACCCAGGAGGCGGAGGUUGUGGUGAGCCGAGAUAGCGCCAUUGCACUCCAGCCUGGGCAACACAGCGAGACUCCAACUCAAAUAAAUAAUAAAAUAAAAAUGGAUAAGAGCUUAUAGAAUAAGAAUAUAAAGAAAGAAAAUAGUUUUUAUACAGUUGCACAACAUAUUUGUGUUUUAAGCUGUUAUUACAAGAGUUUAAAAGUUUAAAAAACUAAAGUUUAUAAAGUAAAAAAUUACAGUAAGCAAAGGUUAAUUUAUUAUUGAAGAAAGAAAAAUUUGUAAAUAAAUUUAUUGCCUAAGUGUACAGUGUUUAUAAAGUCUACAGUGGUGUAUAGGAAUGUUCUGGGCCUUCAUAUUCACUCACCACUCAUCCAGUGACACCCAGAGCAACUUCCAGUCCUGCAAGCUCCAUUCAUAGUAAGUGCCUUGUAUGGGUGUAUCAUUUUUUUUUAAAUCUUUUAUACCGUAUUUUUACUGUAACUUUUCUGUGUUUAGAUAUGCAAAUACUUAUUGUGUUAUAAUUGCCUAUAGUAUUCAGUACAGUAACAUGCUGUACAGGUAUGUAACCUAGCAGCAAUAUGUUAUAUUGUCUAGGUAUGUAGCAGACUACAACAUCUAGUUUGGUGUAGACUCUUUGUUCACAGGGUGACAAAAUUGUCUAACAAUGCAUUUCUCAGAACAUAUCCUUGUCAUUAGGCAGUGUGUGACUGUACUUGGGAGUUCACUGUGUUAUCUGCUCCACUUUGGUAUGUGGUUGACAUUUUAAAUAAUAUUAAUAAAAAAUGUAAACAUUUAAAUUGAAAAGAACAUGUCAGUAACUGGUCAUAUGUGACUAACCAGUCUACUUUGUCCACAAUUCUCCUCACAGUUCAUAGUGUUAAAUAUUAGUUCAAAUCAUUUAAUUAACCUUAAAGGCAGGAUGGCUUAUUGUUAAGCCUUAAUGGAUCUGAGUGAGACUUUCUGGGCUGGAGCAUUAGCACAAACUGGAAAAUAAAGCCAAACAGCCUACUAUUGCUAACCAAGCAAAAUGGGAAGGGUCGUUAUGUUUGCUCUUCACUUUAGUCUUUUUAGAAAUGAAAACUGAUUGGAAACAGAAUUGAUUCUACAUAAAUUAGCCAACAGUAACAAUUGUGUUUGACCAUGUCCCUAUCAGUUCUCUAGUAUAAAAAAAAAAAGUCAUACCUGCAUUUUCAGUGUGUAUUCUUUACUAAAAUGGCAAGAGGAGUUGGAACAAGACAUUUUUAACCCUAUAAUUCUGAGAUUCCCACCCUACUCUCUAUUCAGACAAAUAUGCCUUCAAUAAUUUAGCCAAAAUUUCAUAUUCAUUGUGUCAGUCCAUUAUCUCCUGUAUGUAUCAGUGAACUUAGAGUCAAAUUCAUUACCCAAUCAUGACAGACUUUUUUCAUCUAGCAGAACUGAAACUCUAUACCCAUGAAACAUCAACUUCCCUUUCCUCCUUUUCCCCAGACCCUAAUAACCAUCAUUCUGCUUUCUGUUUCUGUGAAUUUGACUACUUCAGAUAUCACAUAUGAGUAGAAUCAUACAGUAUUUGUCUUUUUGUGCUUGGCCUGUUUCACUUAGCAUAAUGCCCUGAAGGUCUAUCAGUGUUGUAGCAUGUGACAGGAUAUCUUUCCUUGUUAAGACUGAAUAACAUUUCAUUGCAUGUAUAUAGCACAUUUUGUUAAUCCAUUCAUCCGUCCAUGGACAUUUGAGUUGCUUCCACAACUUGGCUGUUGUAAAUCUUGGCUAUUGUAAAUAGUGAUGUUACGAACAUGGGUGUGCAAAUAUCUUUUAGAGACCCUACUUUCAAUUCUUUUGGAUAUAUACGCAGAAGUGGGAUUGCUGAAUCAUAUGGUACUUCUACUUUUCAAAUUUUUUAGGGACCUCCAUACUCUUUUCCAUAGUGGUUGCACCAUUUUACAAUCCCACCAACAGUGCACAUGGGUUCCAAUUUUUCCAUAUCCUUGCUAACACUUGUUAUAUUCAGGCUUUGUUUUUGUUUUUGCUUUUAAAUGAUAGCUAUCCUAAUGGGUGUGGUUUUGGUUUGCAUUUCUCUGAUGAUUAGUGAUGUUGAGCAUUUUUUCAUAUACUUGUUGGCCAUUUGUGUAUCACCUUUGGAGAAAUGUUACUACCUUUGAUAUACUGUCACAUCAGGAGAUCUGCAUAAAAGGUCAAACCCCAAGAGGAAAUCUUUAACUUUUGGGGGAUAUAAUUUUAAAUUAUCUGUCAAGUUUGAAUGGGGUUAUUCCUUAUACUUAAAAGAGUUAUAACAAUCUUACAAGUAUGACAUCUUAGUCAGAAUGGGCCUUAAACACAUCCAGUCCAAUCUCCUGACCCAACAAGAAUAUAAGUGGAUUUCAUAGAGUAAAUUUAUAUAUAUUUCAAACAUAGAAAUCAUUUAUAAAAGCCAUUAAGAGUUGGUAUAAAAGGAAUAUACCUGUGAAACUGAACAACCAAUACACUUGAAUGUAAGAACUUGAAAAGAGAUAUGGAAAAAUGGCUACCAAAUGCCCCCCAAAAUACAUUAUUUCCUUUAUUGUCUUUUAUUUAAAAAAAUUAGGACAGCUAUAUUUGCAGUCAUCAUCUCCUGAAAAUAUAAUUAUUAAUUUUUUCUGUUCUGAGCACUUUCUAAUUUUUCUUUUAUCAUCAAAAAAUAAUAAGUACUAUUUUUAAAAUUGUUAAUUUGUUAUCAAGGAGAUCAGUUUUCCCAAAGUGUGGUCCAGUCAUCUGGAUCAGAAUUGUCUAGAGAUAUAUUUAAAAUACAGAUUCCUUGGCCAAGUCCCAGGCUUUCUGAAUCCGGAGUCCUUGAUGUUGAUGGUAUGGCCCAAGAAUUAGCAUUUUUAACAAAUAUCCACUAUGAGUCUCAUGCAUAUUAAUAAGGUUGACAUUUCUUUAGGAGGAAAAAAAAGUGUCCGGUGUGUACUUUGAAUAUGGUCUGGAAUCUCUGUACUCAACCUUCUGUUAGUUUGUAAACAAGUCAAAAAGUGCACUGGAUUCCUGGGAGAUAUGGCCAUGAUCCCUUCUCCAGCAGAUCUGAAUUUUCUUGAUUUCCUAAUGAGAGAGCUGUCUAAGGAUGUAAAAAUUGUGCUGUGAAAACCAGAUAAGACCAAGUAGUGGAAGUGACCUUGGGUCAUUCAAUAGCAAUUAUGGGCAAGUUAAACCUGACCACCUGGCCCCUGCUGAUCACCUUCAUAUUGCCCUGCUAGCCCUAAGUUACCUUUAACCGUUUUUUUACCUGCAGGUGGAAAUGUUAAUAUCUGUCAUACCAGGUUGUUAUUUUUUUAAGUGCUAGAAACCAGGCACUGGCAUUAAUCUGUGCCUUUAGUGGUAUAUUGUGGAUUAGUCACAAAGAACUUUGUGUCUAAUGAUUGGUACUGUUACAUAAAUUAUAACAGUAACUAGCAUUUAUUCUGCACUUAUGUACUAGAUACUGCUCUAAGCAUUUUACAUUAUUUAAUUUUUAUCCUCUCAACAAUCACAUGAGAUACAUAUUAUCCCCAUUUUACAGAUGAGGAAAUUGGGGCUUAGAGAAGCUCAAGGCUCACAGAGCUGGAAAGUGAUGGAGUCAAAACUUGAACCCAGAAUCCCCAAGUUUAUCAACUUCACUAUACCAUCUCUUUCCACAAACUUAUUUUCUCACCAACUAAAUGUAUAUAAUAAUUUAUGUCAGGCUGUCUUAUUAACUACAUUUUUUUUAACUCCUAAGGUAUUUGUUUUUACUCAAUCCUUCAUGUAUAAAAUUACUUUGCUAAAGAAAUGAAGGAAAUCAGUAUUUUCACAUUUACUUGGAGAAUAAUAUCUUGUGUAUCUUAGGCAAAAAUGAAAACAAUAAUUUAUCUAAAGGGUCAUGUGAAUUCUUGAAAAUAAACAGUGCUGUAGAUCUUUCUGUGGCAUACAUCCAUGGAUGUAAAAGUAAGAGAGGGAAGAAGGAAUCACAUCACCCAGGUAUGAUGUUGAAGGCUAUAAAUGAAUCAAAGAGUUAACAUUUAACAAUAGGAUCAUAUUUUAACACCAUUUUCUUUCUUUCUUUUUCUUUUUUCUUUCUUUUUUGAAGGGGGUGAGGAGGGGAGGGACUGGGGCUGAAGAGUAAGGGCGGGGGAAGAAGUCUCCAUAUUUUAACAACAUUAAUCCAUCCACAUCAUUUAAUAUAUAAUACACCAAAGGCAGAAUCUCCCUGUACCCUGGUCACUUUCUCAGGAUGCCCAUUGUAAUGCGCUACAGGCUCUUACUGUCCUCCACAGUUUCCUAGGAGUUGAUUGUUUUCUUAGCUUAUGCUGCCACUACGUGCUGCUUUCCAUUAGAGGGGAAUCUUCUUCUGUAGGACUUGGGAAUCCCUUCUGUAGGAAGGGAGCAAAGUGUCCCAACAUCUCCCCUAACUGGACACCUCUCUAACUCCAAGCAAACAUAUUGUUCUCAGAGGUUUUCUGAGGAUUCCUGUGUGGUAAAGACAAAAAUGUUUGCAUGAAUAGCAAGACUCCCUCCAUAUUUUUAUCUUGACCAGUAAAUGAAAACAUGGGUUUAAAUCAGCUGUAUGUGUGGAUUAGAAAACAAAGUUGACCAUUGCCUAUAUAUACUUCAUCAUUGAGUCCAUGUUCUUCUAUGAUCAAGCAGAUAAACAGUUUACCUGUUAGUAUUUGUUAAAAAGCAGUGAGGGGUGGCUGGGCGUGGUGGCUAAUGCCUGUAAUCCCAGCAUUCUGGGAGGCUGACGUGGGUGGAUCACUUGAGGUCAUGAGUUAAGACCAGCCUGGCCAACAUGGUGAAACCCCGUCUCUACUAAAAGUACAAAAAUUAACUGGGUGUGGUGGUGCACGCCUGUAAUCCCAGCUAUUUGGGAGGCUGAGCCAGGAGAAUUGCUUGAACCCAGGAGGCAGAGGUUACAGUAAGCCGAGAUCGCACCACAGCCUAGGUCACAGAGCGAGACUCCCCAUCUAAAGAAAAAAAAAAAAAAGCAUUGAGGGGUUAUCCAGCUCUGUAACUCAAAUCUCUGGUGAAAGUGCUGUUUGACUGGAAUGUGGUGAGCAUAUUGGGCGUCUUCAAGACUCAAUGAAUGGGGAUUGAGUGCUUAGAUACUCUAAAGAUUAUCUCAAAAUAUUCUGUUAUUGCUCAUACAGUUCCUUCUUGUGGUUGGAGUAUUCAGAAGAAGAAAUGUCUACUUACAACUUUAUUUUCCUCUCUGAAUCUACAGAUUUUAUAAAAAAUAAUGGGCAUUUCUAAGUUUGCUCUUCAUGAAUGUGUUAACAAUACCCCAAGCGACUGCUUCAAAAACCAAUUUGUUUCAGAUUAUUAUAACAGCCAUGUAAAUUUAAGUAUGAUGUCUCAGGCAAAACUUGGUUAAUGCGGACAUGAAGUUGAAUAUAUAAAAUUAAUGACAGAUAUUAAAAUGUGUAAAUGCAAUUGAUUUUUUUUUUCCAGUCUCACUGUCGCCCAGGCUGGAGUGCAGUGGCACAAUCUGCAACCUCCGCCUCCUGGGUUCAAGUGAUUCUUGUGCCUCAGCCUCUGCAGUAGCUGGGAUUACAGGUGCCUGCCACCAUGCCUGGCUAAUUUUUGUACUUUUAGUAGAGAUGGGUUUCACCAUAUUGACCAGGCUGGUCUCAAGCUCCUGGCCUCAAGUGAUCUGCCUGCCUCGGCCACUCAAAAGUGCUGGGAUUACAGGGGUGAGCCACCAUGCCCGACCUAAAUGCAAUAGUUAACAAUUUACAAUACCAUUAACCUUAACAAGGCAAGAUUUUGCCCAUGCCCAUGUUAUUCCCUGAAAAUUUGGGCACCACUGGAUGUCCAGUUAAUCAGUAAAGAUGAUAGAGUCACAAGUUGAGAAAUGAUCCUAUAAGUGUAGUAAAAGUGGUAUAAAAGAGCCUCAUUGACCGGGCGCAGUGGCUCAUGCCUGUAAUCUCAGCAUUUUGGGAGGUCGAGGUGGGUGGAUCACGAGGUCAAGAGUUUGAGACCAGCCUGGCCAAUAUGGUGAAACCCCGUCUCUACUAAAAAUACAAAAAAUAGCCAGGCAUGGUGGUGCGCGCCUGUAGUCCCAGCUACCUGGGAGGCUGAGGCAGGAGAAUUGCUUGAACCUGGGAGACGGAGGUUGCAGUGAGCCGAGAUCACCCCACUGCACUCCAGCCUAAGUGACAGAGGGAGACUUUGUCUUAAAAAAAAAAAAAGCCUCAUUCAGUUUAUGUUUGCAUGAAAUAUGAUACAUAGUAUUACCACAUUCAGGCCAUAUGAGUAAAUUAUACAUCCUCCAAAAUUAUAUAUAUACAUUUGUCUUUCAUUUACUUAUGACCAUUUACUCAAUGUUCUGUUUUUAACGUGUUAGCAUUUUCUUUCAUUAUUCCAGUUAUUAAUGGUUGCAUUUUCUGGAAUCUCUUCUUAUUAAACUUGGGUAAAUAUAGAAUACAUUUGAAAAGAACAGACCAAGAGAGAACUUCUGAAAGAAAUUCCAUUCAAUCAAGCAAUCAAAGAACCAUCCAGUGUGUCAAUAUUCAAUAAUCCCCCAAAACCUUUGUCUCCUGUCUCACAAUGACACUGUCAGCUUCAAGAACAGGAAACCAUCAUCAGAGGCUUCUUCCUAGAGACUGCAACCCCAUGCUUUCCUUCCAGCAUUGCCCCAUCCACUCCAACUGGGUCCUCCUUCUUCAUAGGUCCACCGUUUCUUUGCUCUUUGUCUUAGUUUUGGUUCCCCCAGAAGCCAGAUCCUAAGGCAUUAAUAUGUACACAAGUAGCUUACUUGGGUAGUGAUCUCAGGAAAUAUGGGCAAGGGAAGUGAGACAAAGAGGGAAGGCAAUCAAUAAAAAGGGCAUGUUUUCAAGUGGGUUAGUACUGUGGGUAAUGGACUUAAUCCCUCUGGAGAAUUUUGGGUACCAGUGUAAAAUUCAUGCCUCUGAGUUACUCUACCAGAGUAGCAAAGGAGCUGAAGUAUUCAUACCCCAACUCCUAUCAAUCAUUAGUUAAAGGCUGCACUUAAGGCAUUACAUCUCCUCAAACCUAUGCUCACAUAUGGAGCUCCAGCCACCAGAGAAGGCCAUUAAGCAAGAUGGUCCAGCUGCUGGCACUUGGUAAGGCUCAGGAGACAUGGGCAGGGCACCAACUGUAUCUGCCACACUGCUAUCUGUGAUCCCAAUCUAGUACACUAAGACCCAUGAUUAAAAGCCAGGGAUUACAAAAUAGGAAAGAAGAUCAAAGGCUUUGGAGUCAGACUGAUUGGUUUCAAAACCUGAUUUCUUAACCUUUCUAAGCUUCAAAAUUCCAUAGAGGAUUGUUACGGAGAUUGAAUAAUGUAAUCCAUGUAAAAGUAUCCAGUAUUGUGACUAGCACAUAGUACAUAUUCCCAAAAAUGCUAGUUAAUAAUAUUAACACCUGAUCCCCUCAUGGAGACAUAAAACUGAACAGGACCUACUUUGUUCUCUGGCCAGAUUGCCCAGCAGGGACCCAGCAAUUCCAGUUUUGCUACUGGCAUAGCAUUUACACUGGUGUCGGUGAGCAGAACUGACUAAAGGACUGGGCCUCAGUUCAAGUAGUCAUCAAGAUAUGGCCAGAUGAAGCCCUGCAUUGUCAUCAGUGCAGAGUGGGUUGCUUCAAGCUGCGUGGGGCUCUAUGGAACCCGGAAGAGUAGAUGGAUCUCCUAAGGAAGGAAUAGGUUCUAGAGCAAGCCCACCUGGUGGUCCAACUUAGCCUCUUUACACUAUUUUCCUACCCAGCCACUCAGUCUAAGUUUUUUAAUGUUUAUGAGAAAAAGGGAGAAAAGAACUAGUACUUAUCCUUCUCAAUAUCAAGUUCUAAUGCAGCAAUAUAACUGCCCUUCCAAUAAGCAAAGUAUUUUUGGAAUUCCUUAGUUCAAAUGAAAUUACAUGGUUCACAUGCUCAAGGCAUUUUUUUCCAAAUGUUUUUCAUUCCCAGUCAGUAGAGACCAGACUUUUGGAAAAACUCAAACUUUCAUUAAAGCUCAGCCAUGCAGGAUAUAAAAGCUGGGUGGGUCCACUUUGAUUUUGCUUCGUUGCUAACCAUUUCCACUUAACUGACAGCAAGAACAGAUUUUUGGAAGAGAAUGCAAAGGGCAUGGAGAGGCCCGUGACAUCACAUAAAAACUCUAGCAAAAGAAAACUUAGAGAAGAAAAUUUACUGUAUUUUCCAAACAGCAGAAAACACUAAUUUUUCAAUUUUUAAUAUAGAAUCUGAAAUAAAUAUAUAGCAAAUUUAUUUCAGUACAAUAUGGUAUUUUUCUAAAUCACUGAUCAUGAAGACUACAGUUGAAAUACCAAAUUUUAAAAAACAGCCACUAAUAUUUAUAGACCCCUAAUAAAAAUAUUGCCUUCCCUUGGAAAACCAAACAUCAUAUGUUCUCACUCAUAAGUGGGAGAUAAGCUAUGGGGAUGCAAAGGCGUAAGAAUGACACAAUGGACUUUGGGGACUCAGAGGAAGAGUGGGAAGGGGGUGAGAGAUAAAAGACUACAAAUUGGGUUCAGCGUAUACUGCUCAGGAGAUGGAUGCACCAAAGUCUCACAAAUCACCACUAAAGAACUUACUCAUGUAACCAGACACCACCUGUUCCCCAAAAACCUAUGGAAAUCAAAAAUUAAAAAAUAAAAAUAUAGGAAAGUGCUUUGUACAUGUCAAAAAAUGUUGCCUUUCUUAAUAAAAAUAAACGGUUCUCCAAAGUUCACUGGAAGGAGAAUCUCCACAUGGGGAAGAAUAGCUAGAUCUUACAUCCUGCUAAUUUUGUCUUCCCUUGGCCUGUGGGGGAGGGCGCUAUUCCCCUCUUUACUAUUGUCCUAAGACCAGGCAGUGGACUGGUUUGAUCCCAAGAACACUCCCUAAUAAAAUUCCUUCACCCCAAUCUCUGUCCAGACUGUGCUUCACUGAGAACCCAAUUUGUGGCAGUUACCCAUGGCCAAAGUACAUAGACCUUAACACUUUAACUCCCCAAGUCUAGACCCAGAAAAGUGAGAACAAGAAAAAGUCAAAGCAGCUUAUUGACUGUGUGGAAGUGGCUUUGUUCAAUUGAUUGGUGGUGGUAAUGAUCACUCCUUUACAGGAGGAAGUUAGCCUUUCUCUUUUGAGGUUUCUACAUGAUAACCAUAUUGGAAUAUAUCCCAAUAGGUAGAGUAUCCAUAAAAUUGUGAGUUGUGGGUUUUGGGGGCAUUUUGUUAUACGCUAUCUUAGAAAUAGAGUCCAAAUCAGUUAAUAAAAAAGAAAAGGGAGAGUGACAAUAUUAUUGCAUAGAAACGAAAGAAGUACUGAUACAUCUCACUUUGUAAAAAAAGAAACACAUUUCAGAAAAAGUUAGCUAUGAAUUAUAUUUUUAUAUUAAAUUUUAUUUUAAAGUCAGUAAUGAAACACACCAUCUAAAGAUUUUUAUGACAGUUUUUUGCAGCGAAAAGCUUACAAAUUUACAUUAUUACCUUCCAAUUUGUUAUUUUGUGAAACUAAAAAUGAUAAAAAUUUCUUUUUUUCUUUUUUCUUUAUGAAAAGGGUUUCCCACUCAAAAUUUAUUUUUAUCAUUUAAAAUGAUAAAUGAUUAAAAUUUUUUUAUCAUUUAAAAGUGUUACUCUUUUAAAUCACUGAGAUGAUUUAAAAUAAAGUAUAUUACUGAAAAUCUUAAAACCACAGCAAGACACUUAAUAUAAAAUUACAUUAAACUCUAAUUAGUUUCUUUUGGCCCAAUAUUUUUAGAUAAAGAAAUUACUUCAAGUUGCAUAUGCUAUAAUGUUCUUGAGAUUAGCCAAACUUUUUCGCAGUACUGGAACUUUGUUGUAUUAUUAUUGCUCAAAAUAAAUUCAUUGACAAAGAGUUAUUAUUAUCUCCCUAACAAUUUUAUUUCUAAGGCUAUGUUUUGAUAAUGGUUUUAACAUUCAUCCUGGAUGAGUGGCUAAGAAUCUGGAAAUGAAAAUUAGGAAUGUACUUAUCCUCUUCUGCCAAAGAGUGUUUUCUUUUUCCCCCAGAUUAGUAGUCACAGAGUAACCAUGGAUUAUGGUUACCAAAUUGGUACCAAAUUUGGAUCUCGUAUGGAGAACUCGGCCUUAGCUCGAAUGCAGCAAUUCACAUUUAAAUAAAAUGAAUAUUUAGAUGCUGUGCUCAAAUUUAGAUAAGAGUAUAUUGUAGUGAUUCUGGGGGAAAUCAGUCUUAAGAUCACAUCUAUUUGCAGUGGAAUGAGGAAUUUCCUUUGGAGAAUAAUUAGUAGAACUAUUAUUGCAAAGCUGCCUAAGCCCUCUUAUGUGAUAUAAUCAGAGGCAACUGGCAAAAGAACAUGAGUCAAGAAUAUCCCUCGGACAGCCUGUACCUAGAUCAAAAAUACUGACGUGCACUCUCUUACGAAGAGUUUCAGAUGCAUAAGACUUUUUUUUUUUUUAAAAACAGGCUUCUAGGUAACAAGUCACUUCACUUCUCUGGGCCUCUUAAACUUCUCAUAUGAAAAUAGACUAGAUGAACCUGGAGAGACAUUUUCUGCCUGAUGUGGAAAGUGAAAGUGAAGAAAUUAGCUGUAUUUCCUAACACUCAGGAGGUAGGUGCAGGGUCCAUAGCUCCUCCAGCUCCUGUGGAUCUUAUGCUUCAGCUUCUCUAACUCUUGGGUCAGAGGUGUGUUUAACUCCUCCUCCACCAGAGGUUUGGAGGUGGUGAGAGACCAAUGCAGAUUCCAGUCCAUCCUCAUGGAUUCCAGUUUGUCCUCGCUUCCUGCUCUCUACCUCCUGACCACUGGUCCUGUGAACUUCAGCUCCAGCACUAGACACAGAAACAACAGCCUCCCCUAGAGAGUAUAACCAGCUUCCACAAUUGCAUACAGUCAAGUCUCUAAAUCCGUUUUGUCAAUUUAUCUUAGUAGUUCUACUUCUAUGAACAAACCUUGACUGAUUACAUUUGGGUUGUUAUGUUUUUAACAAAAAGUGCUACUGUGCAUAUUCAUGUUCAUAUUUUCUGGUGCACUUGUGCAAGCAUUCCUCUACAAUAUAUACCUGAGCUUACAUAUUGCUGGAUUGUAGAAUGUACAGUACUUAACUUUGUAAGAUAAUGCCAAAUCCUAUUCCAGGGUGGUUGUGCCAAUUUAUGUUCACACCAGCAUUGUUUAAGAGUUCCCGUUGAUCUGUCUUUGGGAAAAAUUAAUAUAGUAAUAUUUCUUUUUAAAUGUUUUUUAGAGACAGGGUCUCACUAUGUUGCUCAGGUUAGAGUCAAACUCCUGGGCUCAAGUGAUUCUCCUACUUCAGCCUCCUAAGUAACUGGGACUACAGACAUCCACCACUGCACCCAGCAGUAAUACUUAACUUUAGUUCAUCAGGAGAGUAUAAUAUGUUUACUCAUUAUAAUCUUAAUUUACAUUUAUAUGAUCACUGUGAAGUAGAGAAUCUUUUCAUGUAUUUUUUCUUCAUUCAUAUUUCCUCUUUUGCAAAAUGACUAUUCAUGCCUCCCUUUUUUGUGGCAUUGUUUGUCAUUUAAUUAUUGAUAAAUAGAAAGAGUUCUUCAUGCAUUCUGGAAACAAAUCCUUUAGUGUUAUAUGCAGUGGUGUACUGGAGCUGGCUUGUGUAGACUCGUCUGAGAGAUUUUGUGUAUGUCUUCCUAACUUCAUGUUUAGCAACAUCAUGUUGGUGGCUUGAAAUAAACUUUUCCACCUUGAAAAGAAUCAAACCCAACAAAUCAUGGCUUUUUUCAUCUCUGCAAAGCUAGGUUUUUAAAACAUGUAUGGGCGUACCACUAGUUAUAUAUAGCAAAUAUCUACUACUGGCUUGUCGCUUGUCUACAAAUUCUUGUUUGGAGUAUUUUGAAAAAUAGAAAGUCAAAUUUGUUAAUCUCUUCAGUUUUAGAUAAGUUUUUUGGGGUGUUUUGUGUUCUCAGUUUCAGACAAGCCUGUUUUUGUUUUGUAUGUGUUUUCUUUACCCCAGGAAACUAAAGAUAUUAUCCUAUAGAUGUUUAAAAUAUCAGCUUUCACAUCCAAGUCUUGCAUGCAUCUAGAAUUGACUUACGUAUCAUGUUGGGUAGGAAUCCAGUUUCAUUUUUCCCCAUAUUCUCCCAGCACCACUUAUUGACUAAUUCUCCCUUUCUUGAUUAUAUACAAUACCACCUCUGUUAUAUAUGAUGUCCAAAUAUGUGUGGCUCUGUUUCCCAAGUCUCUACUAUACCAUUAACCCAUUUGUGUAUUGCAGCGUUAAUACCACUCUCUUAAUUAACUUUGUAAUCAAAGUCCUCAAACAGGAUAAAGCAUACCUCCUACCUUGUUCUUCUCCAAAAGAGUCUUUGUUAUAUUUUUGACCUUUGUUCAUCCAUAGGAAUUUUAGAAUCAGCUUCUUAGUUUCUUGGGAAAAAAAGUGUGAUUUGGCAUCAAAUUACACUGAAUCUGUAGGUCAAAUUGGGAAAAACUGGUAACUUCACAAUAGAAAGUCUUCGUUUUGAAUGUCGUCUUUUAUUUAUUUCUAUAGUAGAUCUUCUCUGAUGUUUAUCAAAUAGAGUUUUAGAAUUUAUUCCAUAUAGGUCUCCUAUAACUUCAUUAGAUGUAAUUUAUACUUUUUUGUUGUUAUGGUGUAUUAGUCUUUUAUGCUGCUAAUAAAGACAUACCAGAGACUGGGUAAUUGAUAAAGAACAAGAGGUUUCAUAGACUCACAGUUCCACGUGGCUCGGGAGGCCUCACAAUCAUGGCAGAAGGCAAAGGAGGAGCAAAGUCAUGUCUUACAUGGCAGCAGGACAUUUUUAAAGAUUGGAAUGAUCUCGUUCUUGAAACCUAGGUACUCUAUGUUGAAGAUGCCUGGACUAACCUACUGAAGAUACGUGGUUUUACCAACAGCCAGCACCAAUAGGAAGAUAUGAAUGAAGCCAUCUGAGACCAGCCAUCUGGCAGCCAAACUGCCAACUGACUGCAAAUGCAUGAAUGAUCCCACUGACACCACGUAGAGCACAAAUGAGUUGCCUCCACUGAGCCCAGCCCAAAUUGUUAUCCUAUAAAAUCAUAAAAACAUAAACAGUUGUUUUAAGUCACUAA